GAUGAACGCUAGCGGCAGGCCUAAUACAUGCAAGUCGAACGCGGGGUAGCAAUACCUCGAGUGGCGCACGGGUGCGUAACGCGUAACCAACCUGCCCUUGACUGGGGGAUAGCCCGCCGAAAGGCGGAUUAAUACCGCAUAAACCAGCAGCCUGGCAUCAGGCAACUGGUAAAGAUUUAUUGGUCAAGGAUGGGGUUGCGUGACAUUAGCUAGUUGGCGGGGUAACGGCCCACCAAGGCGACGAUGUCUAGGGGACCUGAGAGGGUGAUCCCCCACACUGGCACUGAGAUACGGGCCAGACUCCUACGGGAGGCAGCAGUAGGGAAUAUUGGGCAAUGGGCGAGAGCCUGACCCAGCCAUGCCGCGUGCCGGACGAAGGCCUUCUGGGUUGUAAACGGCUUUUCUCAGGGAAGAAAAAGGGCAUGCGUACCACACUGACGGUACCUGAGGAAUAAGCACCGGCUAACUCCGUGCCAGCCGCCGCAGUAA
Molecule: ribosomal RNA, 489 nt
Filed under: uncultured bacterium
Lineage: Bacteria
Description: partial 16S ribosomal RNA
Rfam family: Bacterial small subunit ribosomal RNA
Source: RNAcentral